This 153-nucleotide unclassified non-coding RNA is filed under the name uncultured Lasiosphaeriaceae. RNAcentral's name for it is "sequence contains ITS2". Lineage: Eukaryota; Fungi; Ascomycota; Sordariomycetes; Sordariales; Lasiosphaeriaceae. The record is from RNAcentral.
CAACCAUCAAGCCCCUGCGCUUGUGUUGGAGCCCUGCGGCUGCCGCAGGCUCCCAAACCCAGUGGCGGGCUCGUCGUCGUACCGAGUGCAGUAAACUUACCACGCUCAGGGCACACGACGGGUGACCGGCCGUAAAACCCCCCACUUCUCAAA